AAACUAUUAUUUUUUGUUUUGAAAACAAAAUAUAAGAAAAUAUUUCUUGUAGUUUU
This 56-nucleotide transfer RNA is filed under the name Cylicostephanus goldi. Its description in RNAcentral is "tRNA-Ser2". Lineage: Eukaryota; Metazoa; Nematoda; Chromadorea; Rhabditida; Strongylidae. The record is from RNAcentral.